Molecule: long non-coding RNA, 3389 nt
Filed under: Drosophila guanche
Lineage: Eukaryota; Metazoa; Arthropoda; Insecta; Diptera; Drosophilidae
Source: RNAcentral
GUUCACAUAAUGGACAGACCACUGUAGGAAAUAUUUUAUGUGAUGUACAUAUGUAUGUAUGUAUGCAAAGACAUGUACAUACAGUAUGUAUCUUACACACCUUUCACUCGUUAAGUGUCACGUCUGUCAGAUACAGUCCGUUCCCAUUCUACAUCAUUGCCAAGACAGCCCGGUAUCGGUCGGCGGUAUCGAUAGCCUCUCCUUUCCCCCUACCCCCUGUGAACGGGGUACGUGAGCGGCUGCACGAACUCCAGGCGUGGAUUUAUCUGCAUUUGUGUGUGCGUGUAUAUUCACCUUCCGUCAUGAGCAUCGCAUCUUCUCAUCCGCCAUCUGCAGUUCAGAGAAGAUUCCACUCAAAACGGCACACUCAAGGCUCGCUCUCGCUCUCUAUCACUGCGCUCACGCUCUCUUUAACUCGCUCCUCUCACUCUCUGCAGCAGCAGCCGCCGCUCCUGUUCAUGAAGUAACUAUAUAGUUUCUUCAUGCUCCUGUUUUGCAACUUCCUUUUUGGUCAGCUUCCUUGUUGGGCGAGGAGCUGCGAGUGGGGGGUGGGAAAUAGUACAGCAGCAGAAAGUGGGGGAAGUUGGUUGCAGCUUCCUUUUAUGUACAUAAAUAUGUAUAUAUGUAUGGACAUAUGUACAUGCAUAUGCUUUUUGCCACCGUCAAAAAAUAUGAAAGCGCUUUAGAAAGAAUCGAGAUCAAAAGGAGACGAAUAUGGGGUGUACUUGAGCCAUAGGACCCCAUCCAUUUCCCCGUACAGCAUCCGCCAAGUGCUAAAUAUAGACGAUAUUCACAUUUGAGAGAGUUCCAACAUCUGUUCUGUACGUUGAUGAUCGUCAAUGUCCGUCCGCAGUACUCGUCACGUAGGCAGAAGGGGCACCGAUCUUGAUGCUCGUUUCUAAAAAUACUGCUCCCUUUCAGUGGCACAACGGCAAUUACAAGAUCUGCAGGGAUAUAUAAUACAUACUAUCUACAUACAGAAAUAAUCUAAACGGAUUUAUUCUUAAAGAUUAUUAUUUAGUAAAGUACGUAUUGCUGUUAAAUUUAGAGAAUUCGUGAACACAUAUGUAUGUCCAGCCGCCAUCACCUCCAUCGGUGGUUUUGCGGUUGUAAGACGACUGGACGUUCGUCUAGAGCAGGUUAUUUAACCGAUGUUCAUUACACUCGAAUGUGAUGAUUUUCUACUAACUGUAAAAAAUGUCUUACCUUUGCCAAAACAGUGUUGGUAAACAGUAACGUGCCUACCCAGAACAAGAAACUAUUGACGUUGAUAAAGUCGACGAUCUUCUGGACAACUGCCUUGAGAUGCUGUUUAAGAUUUUUAUGUUCUGAAGAAUGUUGCAGAAACCAUUGAAAACAGCAGGAACCUAGCAGAAGGUAUGUGGUACUGGGCAUAAACUGGGACUUUGGCUUAAUGUAUGCUGGAUGGGUGUCUCUUUCAGCUUCUGCAGCUCAGCAUUCUGGAAUUAAAGUCGUAUUACUCAGUGGGUUAGACUGAAUAAAAAUCCGCUUAAAAUCACCCUUCAUUCUUCCAUGUUUGAAAAUUUGUUUUGUAUAAUAUUAAAAGACAGGAAAGUAGGCGAUUCUCAAUAUUUUUGUCCUACUUUACACGGAGAUGCCUUAUAGAGCUCAGUUCCGUCUGUGCUAGUCAAUCGGUAAGAUCAAAAUUGUAGACAUUUUUAUAAAUAUUAUUUGUAUUCAAUUUUAUUUUCUUGACAGUUGCCAAAAAUGGGUAUCAUCAGCCGAAUUGUCGAUUAUUUUAGUCCCCAGCCAGAACCGGAGCUCACCUAUUACGAAUUAAUUCUGGGAAUGGUAAAACAGCCCAGGGAAUAUCUAUCAGCAGCAUAUCCGUAUGGCUCCAUGGCAAUGCUGUGCGCUUGCACAGGUCCAACGUAUAUUGUACGCUAAGGAUGUAAUAAAAAUGCCAAGACGACUCUUCGCUGGGAAUGGUGGUCCCCAACUGGUGCAGUACGAGGAGGAGCACGGGGAGGAGGAGCACGGUGAGGAGGAGCACGGGGAGGAGGAGCACGGGGAGGAGAACGGCCAGGAGGACGAAGAGGAGUUCGAGGAUUAGCAGGAGGAGUUCGAAGAGUCUGACGAGGAGUUCGUGGAUUAAGGAGGAGGCAGGCACCUCUGAAGAUGAAGCAGAUGAUAUUCAUGAACUGGAGGAUGCGUUCAACGAAUUCGCUCCAAUCCUUUAAAUAGUUAUACUUUUAAGUUGCAUUUUGUUUGAGUUUAACAGACGUCCAAUUUUGGCAUUUAUAUAUGACUUUGUUCCUUUUCAACCGCUUAUUUCUAGAUGAUCCUUGGUAACAUUUUUAAGUGGUCGAUGCUCCUUCAGAUUUUUUUAAAAACUAUCUUGAGAAUGCCCCGCACGUACUCGAAUUGCCCCCUGCCUUCACUCUGUCAAUCCAUGGGUAUUUAUGGAGUGAAAACGAGCGGUUUUCUGAUCAUUAAUCGAUCCUUAACGAUCACGUUCAGAGAAAGAUGUAUGGGGUGGAAACACGGAUGCACAAGAGGCCAUUGCAUAGCUAUGACUUCACUUGAGAUGGUCGCAGCAGACGCUGGCUUUGUGCAUUCGCCAUAAAAAUGUGAAAUGUACUGACCAGUCUCCUGGUCACUUUGCUCCAAUCCCCCAGGGUCCCGGUAGCAACCUGGCUUUUAAAAGGCGUGGGCUGUCGAGAAUUCUUUGCUGUGGCGAAUGGUUGUGGGGCCUUUUGAGUCUGAUCGGUUGGCAAUGGCAGUGGCGAUCGCUGUCGAAGCAGUUAAUAGGGAACCGCGGAUAUACAUAUAGUAAGUUGAAUGCCCUCGUUUGGGGGGCUCCACAAAAACAAGUAAAAAAGAAUACCGAAAUUCCAAUAAAGAACAAGUAUGGCAUGGCACAUGCUAUGGCUCACAUUCCGACUAAAAGAUACCACGCUACCAUAAUGUGUCUCGAAUGUCAGGCCGCAUUGGCACUCGGUCCAUUGCUUACAGUUUAUGGGUUCUGCCUGGGCUUAAAGAAUGUCACGUUGGUGACUUAAUUCUGGAUGAUUAUAUAUAUAUAAAUAUAAUUUUUUUUCUCUCUCUUUAUAUUUACAAUCUGUUUUUUUAAACAAUAAGUAAAUUGUAUAAUUAAUAUUCAAUUAACAGAAAUAGCAGUUUUCCAAUGAGCCCUGCUAUUAUAUAUAACAUCUUUUCAGUUUGUUGGAUUUAUCUAUCAGGGAUAUCGAGAAUGUGGUAUCUUUUCAGUCUUCUUACUGUUAGGCUAUUGUCUAAUAGACUUAAGGCUAAAUUAUUUUCGUGGCUGUGGAGUCUGUCGAUGUAUUUCUUACUAGUUUUCUUUAUUUCUUCUUUAAUUGUUGGAAUAUUCAGAUCUUUGUGGAUUAGAUACGUUUGCAUUAGAUACG